UACAGAGGUCUCAAGCGUUGUUCGGAUUCAUUGGGCGUAAAGGGUGCGUAGGCGGGUAGAUAAGUCGGGCGUGAAAUCCCUAGGCUCAACCUAGGAACUGCACUCGAAACUGUUUAUCUUGAGUGCCGGAGAGGAAAGCGGAAUUCCUGGUGUAGAGGUGAAAUUCGUAGAUAUCAGGAGGAACACCAGUGGCGAAGGCGGCUUUCUGGACGGUAACUGACGCUGAGACGCGAAAGCGUGGGGAGCAAACAGG
RNAcentral lists this ribosomal RNA (253 nucleotides) under uncultured bacterium. RNAcentral's name for it is "partial 16S ribosomal RNA". It matches the Rfam family "Bacterial small subunit ribosomal RNA", at positions 524 to 776 of the family's 1533-position model. The record is from RNAcentral.